GGUCCUACGGGAGGCAGCAGUAGGGAAUUUUCGUCAAUGGGCGCAAGCCUGAACGAGCAAUGCCGCGUGAACGAGGAAGGUCUUCGGAUCGUAAAGUUCUGUUGAAGGGGAAAAAGAGCGGAGAGAGGAAAUGGUCUCCGAUUGAUAUUACCCUUCGAGGAAGUCACGGCUAACUACGUGCCAGCAGCCGCGGUAAUACAUAGGGAGCGAGCGUUAUCCGGAUUUAUUGGGUGUAAAGGGUGCGUAGACGGGAAUACAAGUUGGUUGUGAAAGCCCUCGGCUUAACUGAGGAACUGCAACCAAAA
This 305-nucleotide ribosomal RNA is filed under the name uncultured bacterium. Its description in RNAcentral is "bacterial SSU rRNA". It matches the Rfam family "Bacterial small subunit ribosomal RNA", at positions 335 to 632 of the family's 1533-position model. The record is from RNAcentral.